CCCUUUCUAAACGGUGCCAUUUGCUUCUUUUAUUUAAGUUAAUUUUUUUUUUAAAAUUCAUUCUUCUAUUGCUGUUUAAAAAAAAAAAACUUUUAAACACCCCCCAUUUCAAUUCCUCUGCUAAGGUUUUAAACCCCUCAUUUUUGCCUCCUCCAUAGCCGACCAUGAACUCCUCGGCGGUCCUCCACGCCCAUGCCACGAAUCGGUGACCAGUAUUGCGUGAUGUGGGAUUCUCCAACCCUCUUUGAACGAGUUCGAGGAUGGAAUCUCCCCAACUUGCGGCACCAUAAAGAGAGGAGGAGCCUUUUGGUUCCUCUCCCUACGCCACGGCCAAUGGCCAAACACCAAGGGUUCGGCGACCUUUAGAUCGGCGAGGGAAAGUCGGAGCACACCCCAAGCAGUAAAUCAUGUCAGAAGUGAAAGGCUGGUGGUUGGCUCGAGGGGAGGCCAAGGGUUCGGCAGCACGAGUGGCUGUUGAAAAAAUAAAGGUAGUGGGCUAUUAGGGUUAGUUUAGGAAAUGGGCUAAUAGGGUUUUGAUUUAUUUUUGACUUUAAUCUAUAAUGGGCCAUUUAUUUUGGACUUUUAAUUUGGGUUUCAUUAUUUUGUUGGCCAGGCCAAAAUUGGCUAUAAUAGAUCCAAAGAGCAAUUUCAA
Long non-coding RNA from Gossypium arboreum, 652 nucleotides. RefSeq lists it as uncharacterized. NCBI's taxonomy places the organism in Eukaryota, Viridiplantae, Streptophyta, Magnoliopsida, Malvales, Malvaceae. The transcript is spliced from 2 exons. The record is from RefSeq and is a predicted model, not a curated record.